This 492-nucleotide ribosomal RNA is filed under the name uncultured bacterium. Its description in RNAcentral is "partial 16S ribosomal RNA". It matches the Rfam family "Bacterial small subunit ribosomal RNA", at positions 28 to 507 of the family's 1533-position model. The record is from RNAcentral.
GAUGAACGCUGGCGGUGGGCCUAACACAUGCCAGUCGAGCGGCCGCACAGUAAGAGCGUGCCCUUAAGGGUGGCGAGGGGCGGGCGAGUGACACAUGCAUAACCAUCUACUUAUACGGGGGGAAUAACGUGAGACCACUGACGCUAAUACCGCAUACGACCUACCGGUGAAAGCAGGAGUUCUUCGCAGCUUUCGCGACUGAAAGAGCCGAUGCCGGAUUAGCUAGUUGGCUGGGUAAGGGCACACCAAGGCAACGAUACGUAGCCGGCCUGAGAGGAUGAUCGGCCACACUGGAACUGAGACACGGUCCAGACUCCUACGGGAGGCAGCAGUGGGGAAUCUUGGGCAAUGGGCGGAAGCCUGACGCAGCCAUGCCGCGUGGGUGAAGAAGGUCUUCGGGUUGUAAAACCCUUUUGUUGGGGAAGAAAAAAUGUAUGAUUAACUCCCCGCGUUUUGACGGUACCCAAAGAAAAAGCCACGGCUAACUUCGUG